AAUUGAACCUACAAAUAAUUAUGAGAAAAAUGCCAUGGCCUUUUCCGAGAGAGAUAGAUGGAGAGGGGCUGUAUUGUGUAUGACACAGCGUUACUACCGAGAGGUGGAUGAAAAGAUUAGGGUUUGCUGUCCUCUCUCACACACACACACAAACAAACACACACACACAGCUUCUCACCCCUCACCAUCCUUAUUCAUACCUGUGGCUUUUCCUUUUAGGCACUGAGGGUUGAUGUGUGAUUGAGUGGGAAAAAGAAUGGGAGAGAUGAUUGAAUCCUUCCUUCUUCAUUGAAUGGUCAUCUCAUCAUCAACUCUACUCUUGUGUGCACUUUACAAGGAGAAUAAUCCCAUGCCAUGCAUACCAUCCCUACCCCCUCACCAGACCAUUCUUUUUCACCCUCUUUUAUUAGUCACUUUGCUUAGUCUCUUUCCUCCUCCUCCCUUCUCUCUCUGUGUAUAAAUACCAUCUAUCUCUUGGUAUGUGUGGAGAGGAGGUAGUAUCAAAACCUGAAGGCUGUGAUGCGGUGGCUGCAGUUUGUCAUGGGGGCUUAUCAAAGGGUCGCUUACAGAGGUUAUUGGCAUCCUGUCCACCUCCAAUCCAAUUCAUAUAGCACAUAGCCAUCUCUCAAGGCAUGAGCUUGGAGAGAGAUGUAGAUGGAGGUGGACAUAGCUGCCAAGUGAACUCUGUUGGCUUCUCUUUGUAAAACCCAAGUGACAGAUCUAAAUUCCUUUGCGAGUAAUUAAGCAGGAAAUUAAGAUGACCAGAUGAUCAGUGAGAGGGAUGUGUGGUAAAGAUGACCCAAAAUUGUUGCAAGUUCAAGUAGGUUUUGUUUUCUCUUUUUUUCAUCUCCUUCGCAUGCUGCCAUCAUGUAUCAUCAUUAGAGCUUGGAAUUAUACAUGCAAACUGUUUAACUUCUUUUGCCUCUUCAAUGCUUUGGAAUUCACGAUUAUGUACUAGGAAAUUUAACAAUUCUCUUCUCCUAAAUAUAUAAGUCCAACUUGUUGUACAUAGUUUUAAUUUACUCUUCGAUUUCUCUAUUGUUGUUUGUUCACAUUAACCUUUCCUGCAUUCCACCUCUUCAAUACUGUGGUUUGUUGAGAGAUUUCCUUUGCUUCCAUAUAUCCUACGAAUUAACUGAUGUAGCCUCUUAUUGCAAUUAGGGUUUUCAGAAAUUUUUGACCACAGUACAGUGCAAUAGGAGUACUUCAGGCUAUAGACAAUGAUGAGAUCUAUAUAUUGCUGAAUAUAUUAAUAAGAUGCAGUUGAAUAAUAUUCUCAGUAAACGAGCAGGAUAUGGACUCGAAUGUAAUCUUCUUAGUUUCCUGCAAAACCAUCAUUUGUUUCAGGCUUUAAAGAUUUCAACUCUUUAUCACAUUGUACAAUGGCAAUUACCAUCAGCUUUAUCACAUGAGAUAUGGAAUCUGUACUUGUAUGGAAACCCUAGCAAUAAAUACUCGAUAUGGUGCAUCAAAUAUCUUCUUUCUGUAUCUUAAUUUACUGCACAAUCUUUUUGCUGGACAGUUGGGUCAAGACUCUUAGCGAUCAGACUUUAUCUGCUCAACUUUUGUGUGAGAUUGCAGGUGGCUAACUAGCUUCAGGUCCUAUAUUAUCAACAAAAGGCAGGCAAUUAACUAGUCUGCAGUUUUGUAUGAUUAAUGCCAAUGUAUGUGCAUUAAGGGUUUACCUUGGUGGAUUUUUCUUGUAUUUAAUCAUCCUUAAAGAUCUUCGUAGUGCUCAAAUAUGUUUGUAGGAGAAAAACAACAGCCCAUAAGUAGUUCUUCUUGAGGACGGGACCUAAUAAUGAGUUGUUUGAAGUUGAUGUGUAGAGUGGUCAAAGGCUCAGGGAGAUCUGGAGGCUCAUUCAUUACUUAAGCCUGCAGCUAGCUGCAGGGCUGCAGCUAUUCAAGAGUGUAGAUAGUGAGUUUGUUUGAGAAAUAAACAGAAGCAGAUGAUGACGAGCUUUUUCUAGAGGUUUUAAGUGAUCAUCCAGAAGUGAUAGCAGACUACAUUAGGGUUUUCAACUGGAGGGUAGAAUCCUUUAAUCCUAUGCCAUGGAGAUUUCUUGUCUGAUUUAAGCAUUAAUUACCAUUUGGAAAUGUGAUGUAUACAUGUUUGUGUGGACUAAGAGAAUGAAGAGAUAAAAUAUUAGUAUUGUUCA
Zingiber officinale is the source of this 2159-nucleotide long non-coding RNA. RefSeq lists it as uncharacterized. The record is from RefSeq and is a predicted model, not a curated record. Lineage: Eukaryota; Viridiplantae; Streptophyta; Magnoliopsida; Zingiberales; Zingiberaceae. The transcript is spliced from 2 exons.